CUUCCAGUAGCACCUUAGAGACCAAGUUUGUUAUUGGUAUGAGCAAUAACAAACUUAGUUGGUCUCUAAGGUGCUACUGGAAG
Podarcis lilfordi (Lilford's wall lizard) is the source of this 83-nucleotide non-coding RNA. The record is from the annotation of a GenBank genome assembly. Lineage: Eukaryota; Metazoa; Chordata; Lepidosauria; Squamata; Lacertidae.